Molecule: ribosomal RNA, 1205 nt
Filed under: uncultured Bacillus sp.
Lineage: Bacteria; Bacillati; Bacillota; Bacilli; Caryophanales; Bacillaceae
Description: partial 16S ribosomal RNA
Rfam family: Bacterial small subunit ribosomal RNA
Source: RNAcentral
AGUCGUAACAAGGUAACCAUAGAGUUUGAUCCUGGCUCAGGAAGUCGUAACAAGGUAACCAUAGAGUUUGAACUGGGAUAACUCCGGGAAACCGGGGCUAAUACCGGAUAACAUUUUGAACCGCAUGGUUCGAAAUUGAAAGGCGGCUUCGGCUGUCACUUAUGGAUGGACCCGCGUCGCAUUAGCUAGUUGGUGAGGUAACGGCUCACCAAGGCAACGAUGCGUAGCCGACCUGAGAGGGUGAUCGGCCACACUGGGACUGAGACACGGCCCAAACUCCUACGGGAGGCAGCAGUAGGGAAUCUUCCGCAAUGGACGAAAGUCUGACGGAGCAACGCCGCGUGAGUGAUGAAGGCUUUCGGGUCGUAAAACUCUGUUGUUAGGGAAGAACAAGUGCUAGUUGAAUAAAGCUGGCACCUUGACGGUACCUAACCAGAAAAGCCACGGCUAACUACGUGCCAGCAGCCGCGGUAAUACGUANGGNUGGCAAGCGUUAUNCCGGAAUUAUUUGGGCGUAAAGCGCGCGCAGGUGGUUUNCUUUAAGUCUGAUGUGAAAGCCCACGGCUCAACCGUGGAGGGUCAUUGGAAACUGGGAGACUUGAUUGCAGAAGAGGAAAGUGGAAUUNCCAUGUGUANGCGGNUGAAANUGCGUAGAGAUNAUGNGAGGAACACCAGUGGCGNAAGGCGACUUUNCUGGUNCUGUAACUGNACACUGANGGCGCGAAAGCGUGGGGNAGCAAACAGGAUUAGAUACCCUNGGUAGUCCACGCCGNUAAANCGNANUGAGUGCUNAAGUGNUUAGAGGGUUUCCGCCCNUUUAGUGNCUGANAGUUAACNGCAUUAAGNCACNUCCGNCCNUNGGGGNANGUACGGCCGCAAGGCUGAAACUCAAAGGAAUUGACGGGGGCCCGCACAAGCGGUGGAGCAUGUGGUUUAAUUCGAAGCAACGCGAAGAACCUUACCAGGUCUUGACAUCCUCUGAAAACCCUARAGAUAGGGCUUCUCCUUCGGGAGCAGAGUGACAGGUGGUGCAUGGUUGUCGUCAGCUCGUGUCGUGAGAUGUUGGGUUUAAGUCCCGCAACGAGCGCAACCCUUGAUCUUAGUUGCCAUCAUUAAGUUGGGCACUCUAAGGUGACUGCCGGUGACAAACCGGAGGAAGGUGGGGAUGACGUCAAAUCAUCAUGCCCCUUAUGACCUGGGCUACA